GACGAACGCUGGCGGCGUGCUUAACACAUGCAAGUCGAGCGGUAAGGCCCUUUCGGGGGUACACGAGCGGCGAACGGGUGAGUAACACGUGGGUGACCUGCCCUCAGCUCUGGGAUAAGCCUGGGAAACCGGGUCUAAUACUGGAUAUGACUCCAUGACGCAUGUUGUGGGGUGGAAAGCCUUGUGCGGCUGAGGAUGGGCCCGCGGCCUAUCAGCUUGUUGGUGGGGUGAUGGCCCACCAAGGCGACGACGGGUAGCCGGCCUGAGAGGGCGACCGGCCACACUGGGACUGAGACACGG
Molecule: ribosomal RNA, 300 nt
Filed under: uncultured bacterium
Lineage: Bacteria
Description: bacterial SSU rRNA
Rfam family: Bacterial small subunit ribosomal RNA
Source: RNAcentral